UACGUAGGGUGCGAGCGUUGUCCGGAAUUAUUGGGCGUAAAGAGCUUGCAGGCGGUCUGUCGCGUCUGCUGUGAAAAUCCGGGGCUCAACCCCGGACUUGCAGUGGGUACGGGCAGACUAGAGUGUGGUAGGGGAGACUGGAAUUCCUGGUGUAGCGGUGAAAUGCGCAGAUAUCAGGAGGAACACCAAUAGCGAAGGCAGCUCGCUGGGACGGUAUUGACGCUGAGGCGCGAAAGCGUGGGGAGCAAACAGG
RNAcentral lists this ribosomal RNA (253 nucleotides) under uncultured bacterium. RNAcentral's name for it is "partial 16S ribosomal RNA". It matches the Rfam family "Bacterial small subunit ribosomal RNA", at positions 524 to 776 of the family's 1533-position model. The record is from RNAcentral.